RNAcentral lists this ribosomal RNA (253 nucleotides) under uncultured bacterium. RNAcentral describes it as "partial 16S ribosomal RNA". It matches the Rfam family "Bacterial small subunit ribosomal RNA", at positions 524 to 776 of the family's 1533-position model. The record is from RNAcentral.
UACAGAGGUGGCAAGCGUUGUUCGGAAUUACUGGGCGUAAAGGGCGCGUAGGCGGUCCCGUCAGUCCCUUGUGAAAUCCCCCGGCUCAACUGGGGAACUGCAAGGGAUACAGCGGGGCUUGAGUUCGGGAGAGGGAAGCGGAAUUCCGGGUGUAGCGGUGAAAUGCGUAGAUAUUAGGAGGAACACCGGUGGCGAAGGCGCCGCUCUGGGCCGAAACUGACGCUGAGGAGCGAAAGCAUGGGUAGCAAACAGG